GGAGGUCAGAUGCAAAGUUAGACUUUCUCCAGCAGCUUUCUGCAGUUCUAGAACAUUUUUGGAAGUAACAGGUCAGCUUGGUGUGCCAGGGUUGUAUUUGGGGGUGCUUGCUGCAUUUAAUUGUAGGAGGUAGCAGAGUUAGGGCAAGUGAUAUAGCAAUCCCCAGAGUGUAUGUAGUUCUCCAAUCCCCCAAACAUGAGCCAAGAC
This is a non-coding RNA of Pelobates cultripes (western spadefoot toad), 207 nucleotides long. Lineage: Eukaryota; Metazoa; Chordata; Amphibia; Anura; Pelobatidae. The record is from the annotation of a GenBank genome assembly.